UUUUAAUUCGUUAUGAAGCUUGUAUAGCAUUAGCCUUUUAAGCUAAAGACGGGGCUCUAUGCCCCCAUAACGAA
Molecule: transfer RNA, 74 nt
Filed under: Eozapus setchuanus (Chinese jumping mouse)
Lineage: Eukaryota; Metazoa; Chordata; Mammalia; Rodentia; Dipodidae
Description: tRNA-Lys
Rfam family: tRNA (bases 9-73)
About the family: Transfer RNA (tRNA) molecules are approximately 80 nucleotides in length. Their secondary structure includes four short double-helical elements and three loops (D, anti-codon, and T loops). Further hydrogen bonds mediate the characteristic L-shaped molecular structure. tRNAs have two regions of fundamental functional importance: the anti-codon, which is responsible for specific mRNA codon recognition, and the 3' end, to which the tRNAs corresponding amino acid is attached (by aminoacyl-tRNA synthetases). tRNAs cope with the degeneracy of the genetic code in two manners: having more than one tRNA (with a specific anti-codon) for a particular amino acid; and 'wobble' base-pairing, i.e. permitting non-standard base-pairing at the 3rd anti-codon position.
Source: RNAcentral